Molecule: ribosomal RNA, 429 nt
Filed under: Actinomycetes bacterium
Lineage: Bacteria; Bacillati; Actinomycetota; Actinomycetes
Description: Actinobacteria bacterium partial 16S ribosomal RNA
Rfam family: Bacterial small subunit ribosomal RNA
Source: RNAcentral
UAGGGAAUCUUCCGCAAUGGGCGAAAGCCUGACGGAGCAACGCCGCGUGAGUGAUGAAGGUCUUCUGAUCGUAAAACUCUCUUAUUAGGGAAGAACAAAUGUGUAAGUAACUAUGCACGUCUUGACGGUACCUAAUCAGAAAGCCACGCCUAACUACUUGCCAGCAGCCGCGGUAAUACGUAGGUGGCAAGCGUUAUCCGUAAUUAUUGGGCGUAAAGCGCGCGUAGGCGGUUUUUUAAGUCUGAUGUGAAAGCCCACGGCUCAACCGUGGAGGGUCAUUGGAAACUGGAAAACUUGAGUGCAGAAGAGGAAAGUGGAAUUCCAUGUGUAGCGGUGAAAUGCGCAGAGAUAUGGAGGAACACCAGUGGCGAAGGCGACUUUCUGGUCUGUAACUGACGCUGAUGUGCGAAAGCGUGGGGAUCAAACAGG